RNAcentral lists this ribosomal RNA (253 nucleotides) under uncultured bacterium. Its description in RNAcentral is "partial 16S ribosomal RNA". It matches the Rfam family "Bacterial small subunit ribosomal RNA", at positions 524 to 776 of the family's 1533-position model. The record is from RNAcentral.
UACGGAGGGAGCUAGCGUUGUUCGGAAUUACUGGGCGUAAAGCGCACGUAGGCGGCUUUGUAAGUAAGGGGUGAAAGCCCGGAGCUCAACUCCGGAAUUGCCCUUUAGACUGCAUCGCUUGAAUCCAGGAGAGGUGAGUGGAAUUCCGAGUGUAGAGGUGAAAUUCGUAGAUAUUCGGAAGAACACCAGUGGCGAAGGCGGCUCACUGGACUGGUAUUGACGCUGAGGUGCGAAAGCGUGGGGAGCAAACAGG